This 1122-nucleotide long non-coding RNA is filed under the name Macaca mulatta (Rhesus monkey). RNAcentral describes it as "lncRNA (ENSMMUG00000058377.1)". Lineage: Eukaryota; Metazoa; Chordata; Mammalia; Primates; Cercopithecidae. The record is from RNAcentral.
GGAGAAGAGCACCGUCUUCCCAUCGGUAGCAUCUGUCCAUCACAGCAGGCUCUUGCCUGGGGUCUGUGUGGACAACUGGGUCUUACUUUACUGUGUUGUUUCAUAGGUAAGGCUCCCAGAGACGGAGAAUCUCAGCUCAGUGAGGACAGAAGUGCGGACAGAAGUGCGGAGAGCCUCACCAAUCACAGCCAAGCCACCGAGGCAGACACAGCCACACCACGCUGGAGGCCCGGAGGCUGGACGCUGGGUGGCUGCUUAAGUUUCCCAAGGGAAGAAAUUUGGUCUGAAAUCGUUUCAGUCAGGAAGAGUCCCAGACUGAGGUCUGAAGAUCUGGGGUUCAUUUCUGUCUCCAAAAUCUAAGCCUAGGAUAGAGAACUCAAGUUCAAAUAGUCCAGCGACCCUACGUGGAUGGCAUGUGGCAGUUUCAUGUCAUUGCUGGGUCACCUGCACCCUGGCAUGGUUACAGUGGGGAGACAGAUCCUUAGAACCAGCACAGGGUCACAGGAUAAGGCCCUUCUCUCUGGCUUCCUCUCCAACCUGCAGUUCCCUGUCCAUCUUGGCCAAGUUCAUCUGAUUUGCAGAUGGGGAACCUGCCUGGCACGAAUCCUAUGGUCCCAGGCAGACGGUUUGGAAACUCAGUGCUUGACUCACCUUCCCAGGCUCCUUUGAAGUUCUGAGCUGCCUCAGGGCUCCUCACCAGAAUCAGCUCUUGGGAUCCAGGCUUUUCUGACUCAGAGCCAGCACAGGCUUCAGCCCCCACACCUCCUCCUGCUCGGCCUCCUCUGGCCUCGGUUGAUGAGAUGGAAGCUCCCUCCCCUGCCUCCCUGUGCCCAGGCUCACAAACCCGUCACUGGAUAUCUUUAUUUAGGGAGAUUUCCUGCCCAGGCCUGCUUCCAGGGCACGAUGUAUUGAUGCAAAAUCCAUCACUUAGUGAGUCUGGGCAUUUAAUCAAUGAGGCUGCAGGGAGCCCCGUGUGACUCAGAGGGUGCUGGGAGUGAAGGCCAGGCGAGGACAGCAUCCAGAGUGGGUGGAAGGACGGUUUUUAUUUUUGAUCCUGUAAUGUCAGGCUCCAGCGAUUAGAUGUCUAUUCCCUGUAAUGCUGGCACUGCAGCAGAAUUCCAC